GGAAUUAGCCUUGGACUGUUCUGGUCAGCAGGUAGUUUCUCAAUGGACAGUAUUCUGAUUUCGCUUCUCUGGGUGUAAGAAAUAAGGAGAAUGUCAAGUUGACUAAAGCAACCUGUUUACAUAAAUUGAUCUGGAAGAUAUAUGGGGGCCCUCAGCAUCAAUGACAGAACCAUCCCUCAGCCCCUCUAUUCUUCAGCUUUCCCUGGAGAAGCAGAGCAGAGAUGGUGCUUUCCUCCUGGAUGCAGGCUCUGUGAGUAGUGUGACUUCCUGACCUCACUGUACCUCUGGUCCUUUUUAGCAUUUGGUUUC
Molecule: long non-coding RNA, 309 nt
Filed under: Castor canadensis (American beaver)
Lineage: Eukaryota; Metazoa; Chordata; Mammalia; Rodentia; Castoridae
Description: lncRNA (ENSCCNG00000011818.1)
Source: RNAcentral